Molecule: ribosomal RNA, 235 nt
Filed under: uncultured bacterium
Lineage: Bacteria
Description: partial 16S ribosomal RNA
Rfam family: Bacterial small subunit ribosomal RNA
Source: RNAcentral
UGGCGGACGGGGGAGUAAUGUCUGGGAAACUGCCCGAUGGGAGGGGGUAACUACUGGAAACGGUAGCUAAUACCGCAUAACGUCGCAAGACCAAAGAGGGGGACCUUCGGGCCUCUUGCCAUCGGAUGUGCCCAGAUGGGAUUAGCUAGUAGGUGGGGUAACGGCUCACCUAGGCGACGAUCCCUAGCUGGUCUGAGAGGAUGACCAGCCGCACUGGAACUGAGACACGGUCCAG